RNAcentral lists this long non-coding RNA (230 nucleotides) under Elaeis guineensis (African oil palm). RNAcentral's name for it is "long non-coding RNA (EGUI_LNC022078)". The record is from RNAcentral. Lineage: Eukaryota; Viridiplantae; Streptophyta; Magnoliopsida; Arecales; Arecaceae.
UCCUAAGAAUACAAAUACAUCUUGGUUGUAGUAAACUACGUCUAAAUGGAUUGAGGCUAUGGCAAUCAGGAUGAAUGAUCAUAAGGUGGUAAUCAUAUUCAUUCAACAAAACAUCCUAAGCUGAUUCAAUUGCCCAAGAGCCAUUAUUAGUGAUAAGGGUGCACACUUCAUGAAUAGACACUUUGAAAGUUUAAUGAAAAAAUACAUAAUCACUCACAAAGUUGCCACAC